Molecule: small nuclear RNA, 104 nt
Organism: Aethalodelphis obliquidens (Pacific white-sided dolphin)
Lineage: Eukaryota; Metazoa; Chordata; Mammalia; Artiodactyla; Delphinidae
Source: RefSeq, a predicted model, not a curated record
GUGCUGGCUUCGGCAGCACCUACACUAAAAUCGGAAGGAUACAGAGAUUAGCAUGGCCCCUGGGCAAGGAUGACACGCAAAUUUGUGAAGCAUUCCAUAUUUUU